RNAcentral lists this ribosomal RNA (253 nucleotides) under uncultured bacterium. RNAcentral's name for it is "partial 16S ribosomal RNA". It matches the Rfam family "Bacterial small subunit ribosomal RNA", at positions 524 to 776 of the family's 1533-position model. The record is from RNAcentral.
UACGGAGGGUGCAAACGUUGCUCGGAAUCAUUGGGCGUAAAGCGCACGUAGGCGGACCGCUAAGUCGGAUGUGAAAUCCCUCGGCUUAACCGAGGAAGUGCACUCGAAACUGACGGUCUUGAGUAUGGAAGAGGGUCGCGGAAUUCCCGGUGUAGAGGUGAAAUUCGUAGAUAUCGGGAGGAACACCAGCGGCGAAGGCGGCCAUCUGGACAGAUAUUGACGCUGAGGUGCGAAAGCGUGGGGAGCAAACAGG